RNAcentral lists this ribosomal RNA (543 nucleotides) under Salmonella enterica subsp. enterica serovar Typhimurium. RNAcentral describes it as "partial 23S ribosomal RNA". It matches the Rfam family "Bacterial large subunit ribosomal RNA", at positions 81 to 666 of the family's 2925-position model. The record is from RNAcentral. Lineage: Bacteria; Pseudomonadati; Pseudomonadota; Gammaproteobacteria; Enterobacterales; Enterobacteriaceae.
GUAAGGUGAUAUGAACCGUUAUAACCGGCGAUACCCGAAUGGGGAAACCCAGUGUGAUUCGUCACACUAUCAUUAACUGAAUCCAUAGGUUAAUGAGGCGAACCGGGGGAACUGAAACAUCUAAGUACCCCGAGGAAAAGAAAUCAACCGAGAUUCCCCCAGUAGCGGCGAGCGAACGGGGAGGAGCCCAGAGCCUGAAUCAGCAUGUGUGUUAGUGGAAGCGUCUGGAAAGGCGCGCGAUACAGGGUGACAGCCCCGUACACAAAAGCGCAUGUGCUGUGAGCUCGAUGAGUAGGGCGGGACACGUGGUAUCCUGUCUGAAUAUGGGGGGACCAUCCUCCAAGGCUAAAUACUCCUGACUGACCGAUAGUGAACCAGUACCGUGAGGGAAAGGCGAAAAGAACCCCGGCGAGGGGAGUGAAAAAGAACCUGAAACCGUGUACGUACAAGCAGUGGGAGCACCCUUCGGGGUGUGACUGCGUACCUUUUGUAUAAUGGGUCAGCGACUUAUAUUCUGUAGCAAGGUUAACCGUAUAGGGGAGC